Molecule: ribosomal RNA, 379 nt
Filed under: uncultured bacterium
Lineage: Bacteria
Description: partial 16S ribosomal RNA
Rfam family: Bacterial small subunit ribosomal RNA
Source: RNAcentral
UGGGGGAAUUUUGGACAAUGGGCGCAAGCCUGAUCCAGCCAUGCCGCGUGCGGGAAGAAGGCCUUCGGGUUGUAAACCGCUUUUGUCAGGGAAGAAAUCUUCUGAGUUAAUACCUCGGGAGGAUGACGGUACCUGAAGAAUAAGCACCGGCUAACUACGCGCCAGCAGCCGCGGUAAUACGUAGGGUGCAAGCGUUAUCGGAAUUACUGGGCGUAAAGCGUGCGCAGGCGGUUUUGUAAGACAGAGGUGAAAUCCCCGGGCUCAACCUGGGAACUGCCUUUGUGACUGCAAGGCUUGAGUGCGGCAGAGGGGGGAUGGAAUUCCGCGUGUAGCAGUGAAAUGCGUAGAUAUGCGGAGGAACACCGAUGGCGAAGGCAAU